GUAUCCUUCUAACGUAAUGUGUAGGGUGUUUCGACGUUGCCGGAAGCAAGACAUCUAGUCAUAAGAUCGUGGAAACGGUGCACGGAAGGCUGUGGAGAGACUGUUAGUGGGUUUAUGUUCAGAUGCUUUUAUACCUGUGUGUUUUUUCCUACCUCUGCAAGUACGGUGAGGAUUCCAUUGCGUUAUGAACUUCUGUUCGCGAGAACUUUGCUAGGUGGGUGAUGAUGUCUGCUUGAAUAUCCCUUGGUAGAAUCUCUAUGCGUGAUAGCUCUUGAAGCUCAGCCUUUCUUUCUUUUUAUUUAGGAUUUUGGAAAUGGACGAUGUUAUGGUGUCUUUUGUUUAGUUUGUGAGACUUAGAUGUGUGUGUUUUAAAUGAGUUUUUUUUAUUUGGUUGCCUUAAGCCUUUUGCGUAUUAAUUGUGAAGAUCCACAAAUAUUUUGUGGUUAAGUCAUUUGAAAGUACCGUUGGCUUGCGACAUCCUUUGAUUUGAUAUUAUCACGUUUUGAAUGGAUAAUUUAAUAUUAUCACGUUUUGAAUGUAUAAUUUAAGAUUCGUUAACGUGCUGAAAUUUAUGUGUAAAAGUUUGAAAAUUGGAGUCAUUAUUUAGUUGGUCUUGUCAGUUGAUUUAGUGAUUCCCUUUUUUGUGGACUUAUAGUUUGUAUUACUUGCUACGUGAGUAACAGUUUAAGCGAUUUUGAUAUGAUAAGGCGUUUUUUGGUGCUAUGUAGAUGUUGUUAAUUUUGCAAUUCCGCUAGUUGACAUACCUACACCGUCAAAUAGGAGAAUUAGAUAUCUAUCUAUAAUAAUAAAAUAGGGUUUUCUCCCUUUUCAUUGCGCCACAACAUCAAGGAAGCAAUAGGCAAAAGACAACACGUCAGCAUCUAUUUUUUCAAGUUUUUUUGUCGUAGUGGGCUUUUCCUUGGCUGGUUAAGCUGCCCUUAAUCGUCGUAAGUAACGACGACCUUUGGAUCCAUUACAGAAGAAGAACAGAUGUCUCCUGCCCUAUUCAUCAACUUAGUGCUCUUUUCUCAUGUUGUUCGAGAUCCCGUUUUCUGUGAUCGUUAAAGCAAUAGAUCUGUUUCUCCAGACUCAAAGACAUCAUGAAAAUGAAACGUAGAAGGAAAAGAGACUCAUGAACAACAGAAGCGUUUUCAAUCUCAGAUUUAACAAAGAGCAUUUCAGAUUCCACCAGAUGACCAAAAUCUAAUGGAAAGAGUAAGCCGUCAUCUCUGAUUCUACCUCUUCCUCUCGGCCGUUCUGAAUCUCUACAUUACUGUGCAUUUAUCCACUCUGAAUCAUUCAUUCCUCUUCUUUAAUCCUCUCUUCAUUAGCGAUGCUUUCCUUCCAACUCCCUCUCUUUCUACUCCUAUAUUACCCACUUUGUGAAAGGUUUAAUCAAAAUCAAACUCGUCAGGGGAACUGUGAAGCCUUUGAGUGCCUCAGCUUGCAAUCAAAAGCAAUCUUUUCCGGUGGGAUCUCAAGAUCAAAGGUGCUUUGAUCAUACUCUAAAACAUAGUGUGUAUCAUCAUGUACGGGGAUACUUUCAGUGUCGCUGGUCGUGAUAUUCCCAUUGUACGUCGUGUCAUUAAGGGUCACGAAAGGGAGAUUACAUAAGAAGUGGAUGUUUUGACAAAAGGUGUUGGUUCUGCUGAUUUGGAAUGACACUUAGUGGCAAGAAACUACGUUGGGGACUUUGUAUUAACUUCCCUACAGUGUAUGUCCUGCAAACCAAAGUUAACAUUUAUUUAGAUCUUUACAUUGUUUUCCCAUAAAAUUUUCAUACAUAUAUGCAAAUAUGGAACAGAUCAAUCAUAUUGUCUCCCUAAGUGUUCUUUUUAAGACUCAGCUUCAAGCCUUCAACAAUAUCAAGUUGAACAUCAGCUCAGGAGAGAAGUAGACAUUCAGUCUAUAUUCGGGAACUGUGGCUUACGGUUAUUUUUAUGAUGAUGCAAAAUCACUACACAGUUAUCAUGAAGUCUUCGAUAAGAAAAGUAUUCAAUCAAGACAUUUACAGGGAAUGAAAAGAAGAAAUACUGGAUCAUAAACAAGUUCAUCUGAGAUAAAAAAAAUGGGUUAAUCUGAGAUACUACAAACCGUAGCCGCCACUUGCUUCUGUCUUUUGAUGUUGGGCAAAAAAAACUUCGUUACUAUCAUAAAUCCUAACCAAAACAAAACUUUUUGGAGAAGAAAAAUGGUAAUUACAAUGCU
Long non-coding RNA from Brassica napus (rape), 2208 nucleotides. RefSeq lists it as uncharacterized. The record is from RefSeq and is a predicted model, not a curated record. Lineage: Eukaryota; Viridiplantae; Streptophyta; Magnoliopsida; Brassicales; Brassicaceae. The transcript has 5 exons.